Molecule: ribosomal RNA, 1476 nt
Filed under: Rhipicephalus microplus (southern cattle tick)
Lineage: Eukaryota; Metazoa; Arthropoda; Arachnida; Ixodida; Ixodidae
Description: SSU rRNA
Rfam family: Eukaryotic small subunit ribosomal RNA
Source: RNAcentral
ACCAUGGUUGUUACGGGUAACGGAGAAUCAGGGUUCGAUUCCGGAGAGGGAGGGGAGCUGCUAGAAAACUGGUACCACAUCCAGAGGUAAGGCAAACAUCGGCGCGCAAAUUACCCACUCCCGGCACGGGGAGGUAGUGACGAAAAAUAACAAUACGGGACUCUUUUGAGGCCCCGUAAUUGAAAUGAGUACACUCUAAAUCCUUUAACGAGGAUCAAUUGGAGGGCAAGUCUGCCAGCAGCCGGUAAUUCCCAGCUCCCAAUACUUAUACUAAAUAAAGCUGCUGCGGUUAAAAAGCUCGUAGUUGGAUCUCAGUUCCAGACGAGUAGUGCAUCUACCCGAUGCGACGGCUCGGACUGAACAUCAUGCCGGUUCUUUCUUGGUGCACUUCAUUGCUCGAGCAUGCCGGUUGGUCUAUUUACUUGAAAAAAUUAGAGUGCUCAACUCAGGCGAGUCGCCUGAAUAAAACUGUGGCAAUGGGUGAAUAAUAGAAUCAAGAUCCCUCGUUUCUUUCUUUGGUUUUUGGAAAUACGAUAAUGAUUAAUAGGGACGGACGGGGGCAUUCGUAUUGCGGCGCUAGAGGUGAAAUUCUUGGACCGUCGCAAGACGAACUACUGCGAAAGCAUUUGCCAAGAAUGUUUUCAUUGAUCAAGAACGAAAGUCAGAGGUUCGAAGGCGAUCAGAUACCGCCCUAGUUCUGACCAUAAACGAUGCCAACCAGCGAUCCGCCUGAGUUACUCAAAUGACUCGGCGGGCAGCUUCCGGGAAACCAAAGUAUUUGGGUUCCGGGGGAAGUAUGGUUGCAAAGCUGAAACUUAAAGGAAUUGACGGAAGGGCACCACCAGGAGUGGAGCCUGCGGCUUAAUUUGACUCAACACGGGAAAACUUACCCGGCCCGGACACUGGGAGGAUUGACAGAUUGAGAGCUCUUUCUUGAUUCGGUGGAUGGUGGUGCAUGGCCGUUCUUAGUUGGUGGAGCGAUUUGUCUGGUUAAUUCCGAUAACGAACGAGACUCUAGCCUAUUAAAUAGGUGCGGGGUUCCCAGCACCUUACAACCUUCUUAGAGGGACAAGCGGCUCCUAGCCGCACGAAACAGAGCAAUAACAGGUCUGUGAUGCCCUUAGAUGUCCGGGGCCGCACGCGCGCUACACUGAAGGAAGCAGCGUGUCUUUAUCCCUGUCUGAAAAGACUGGGUAACCCGUGGAACUUCUUUCGUGAUUGGGAUAGGGGCUUGCAAUUGUUCCCCUUGAACGAGGAAUUCCCAGUAAGCGCGAGUCAUAAGCUCGCGUUGAUUACGUCCCUGCCCUUUGUACACACCGCCCGUCGCUACUACCGAUUGAAUGAUUUAGUGAGGUCUUCGGACCGAUGUCCGGCGCGGCCUUUCGGUUGCGCCGGUCUGUUGGAAAGAUGACCAAACUUGAUCAUUUAGAGGAAGUAAAAGUCGUAACAAGGUUUCCGUAGGUGAACCUGCGGAAG